GUCUAGUUUUGUCGAAAUUAAAUUACUGUGAUACUGUUUAUGGUCCCUGUUUACUCUCGAGAACUGAAAAAUUAAUACAACGCAUUCAAAAUGCCUGUGCCAGGUAUUGCUUUGACAUUCCUGUGAGAGGACACAUAACGGAAACAUGAACCUAGGUACUUGUAUGAGAAGUUAGAUUGGAGAAGUACUCAGUACAGGUAUGGCUCACGAGCUACUGUUAAGCCAUUGUUGACGCCCAAAUACAGAACAGCUGCUUUUCGGGGAGCGUUUAAAUACGCAGCUACGCAUUGCUGGAAUGAUCUCCCACCACCUAUUCGUCACAUUGUAACAAAGCAUGGCUUUAUUAAUCGUUUAAAAUCUUCGAUCAAUAAUACUACUAGAUUCGCGAUUAGCGCUUCAAAAGCGGCCCGAAAAAUAAGACCACAAAUAAAUUUGUGGUCUUAUUUCAAAUUAGUAUGGUCCAAUCAUAGCCAACACUAAGACGUCAAAACGCUGCACUGCGCGUUCAAAAACGGAGUAAAAAACCACCGUAACACCAAGGUUUUGGAAGGAAUAUCUUUUUUUGAUUUCCUAGUAGCCCCUUGUCGCUGUGCACAAUGGAUAUAUAUUGUCGCGAAAGAAAGAGGAGAAGAAAUAUAGAACUCUUAUAAAAAUUCUAGAAUUGUUCAAUGGUGGUGGCAAAUCAAUGCAAAAAAGUAUUAAAAAAACUUUAUAAUAUGUAUGUGUAAAUAUUUUAAGCGUAUAUGCUGAAAAGGAUUUGUUUUCUGGGGGAAACGAACACAGCCAUAAAAUAAGCCUAAAUUAAACUGAUUAUAGAAAAAUUCAUUGAUAUAAGAUUACAUUAUAUUUGUAAAAAAGAAACCGCUCAUAUAAAAAUGACUUCUAAAAGACAGCUUUAUAACAAACUGAAUCUGUUUAAAGUUAAUUAAACCUACAUUAUUGUUUUAAUAACUUCUGUAUAAAGAAUACGUGGAAAACAUGUUUCGUGUUUCCUUUCAUAUUUUUUUUACUUUAUUCAAUUUUAUUUUUUAUCACCUAUUUGUUGUAAUAGCGGCAAUGUAAAAUAUUAUCUACUACUUUUUUGAAUCGGUCAAAAAUAGUUGCGACCAUACAAAACAAACCUAAAACAAAUAUGUAUAUUCUGCAACUCUAUGUCUUUCAAUACUUACUGUGUUCUGAGCAUUGAAAUGUAAUACCAAGAACUACAUCUAGUUCCACAAUACAAUAAGCACGAAAUUUUAAACAAAUAUUUUUAACCUUAUAAAUUAGGCUUUAAGUAUCAUUUUAGAAUAAAUAUUUUUGUACUGAUGACUUUUUAUGUUCAAGUGACAUUUUAAAUUUAUUCCAUAAUAUUCUUUUUCUGACGAAAGGACCUAAAUACAUAUAUUUUGCAAUGGUAAUUAAACUUUAUGUUUAAGUCUUAAGGUUUAUAAUAAACUGAAGUCGUUAACAUUAUUAAA
Long non-coding RNA from Bombyx mori (domestic silkworm), 1460 nucleotides. RefSeq lists it as uncharacterized. The record is from RefSeq and is a predicted model, not a curated record. The transcript is spliced from 2 exons. NCBI's taxonomy places the organism in Eukaryota, Metazoa, Arthropoda, Insecta, Lepidoptera, Bombycidae.